GGCUUCGUGGUCGAGUGAUAAGGACACUUGGCUCUCACCCUGAAGUCCCUGGUUCGAUCUCCGGUUGAGAAGCUA
Molecule: transfer RNA, 75 nt
Filed under: Rhamnusium bicolor
Lineage: Eukaryota; Metazoa; Arthropoda; Insecta; Coleoptera; Cerambycidae
Description: tRNA-OTHER
Source: RNAcentral